CAGAUGUGGGGACGUGUUAGGAGAGGA
This 27-nucleotide non-coding RNA is filed under the name Cricetulus griseus (Chinese hamster). The record is from RNAcentral. Lineage: Eukaryota; Metazoa; Chordata; Mammalia; Rodentia; Cricetidae.